RNAcentral lists this long non-coding RNA (317 nucleotides) under Mus musculus (house mouse). RNAcentral describes it as "predicted gene, 48559". Lineage: Eukaryota; Metazoa; Chordata; Mammalia; Rodentia; Muridae. The record is from RNAcentral.
AUUUACAUGAAACCUGCAAGGGCUAACGUCAAAGUAAUGGAUCAACGUAUGGAACUUCUAAAGUGAGCUACAAGGUCAGAUGAUUUCUGGUUGGCAAGCUUUUUCUGUGGACUUGGCUUUGACAGUCCUUCGAAGCUCUUAAGAGGCCAAGAAUUUGAGAAACUAAUGGAAUUAUCUUGCGACUUCUUUGGUGCUACAGAAAGAGGAGAUGUGUGCUUUGGACUAGUUCGAGGUGAUGCGAGAGGAUAGGAUGGAAGGAUGAAGGAUCCUGGACUUGCAUUUGAACCAGAGUAUGAAGAAGUUCGUUCUGAUUGACU